AGAGACAGCAGUCGCCGCGGGAAUACAGAGGUCCCGAGCGUUGUUCGGAUUCACUGGGCGUAAAGGGUGUGUAGGAGGCUAGGUAAGUCAGUUGUGAAAUCCCACCGCUCAACGGUGGAACUGCAAUCGAUACUGCUUGGCUAGAGGAUCGGGGGGGGAAGCGGAAUUCUUGGUGUAGCGGUGAAAUGCGUAGAUAUCAAGAGGAACACCGGUGGCGAAGGCGGCUUCCUGGAAGAUUCCUGACUCCGAAACACGAAAGCCAGGGGAGCGAAUGGGAUUAGAUACCGCGUAGUCCCUGUCUCUUAUACA
Molecule: ribosomal RNA, 309 nt
Filed under: uncultured bacterium
Lineage: Bacteria
Description: partial 16S ribosomal RNA
Rfam family: Bacterial small subunit ribosomal RNA
Source: RNAcentral